Molecule: ribosomal RNA, 440 nt
Filed under: uncultured bacterium
Lineage: Bacteria
Description: partial 16S ribosomal RNA
Rfam family: Bacterial small subunit ribosomal RNA
Source: RNAcentral
CCUACGGGAGGCAGCAGUAGGGAAUAUUGCUCAAUGGGGGAAACCCUGAAGCAUCAACGCCGCGUGGAGGAUGAAGGUUUUAGGAUUGUAAACUCCUUUUGUGAGAGCAGAUAAUGACGGUAUCUCACGAAUAAGCACCGGCUAACUCCGUGCCAGCAGCCGCGGUCAUACGGCGGGUGCAAGCGUUACCCGGAAUCACUGGGCGGAAAGAGUGCGCAGGCGGGCUUGUAAGUCAGAUGUGAAGUCCGGUAGCUUAACUACAGAACUGCAUUUGAAACUAUGAGUCUAGAGUGUGGGAGAGGUAGGUGGAAUUCUUGGUGUAGGGGUAAAAUCCGUAGAGAUCAAGAGGAAUACUCAUUGCGAAGGCGACCUACUGGAACAUUACUGACGCUCAUGCACGAAAGCGUGGGGAGCAAACAGGAUUAGAUACCCUUGUAGUC